CAGUCGAGCGGAUUGAUGGGAGCUUGCUCCCAUCAGUCAGCGGCGGACGGGUGAGUAACACGUGGGUAACCUGCCUGUAAGACUGGGAUAACUCCGGGAAACCGGGGCUAAUACCGGAUAACUCAUUUCCUCGCAUGAGGAAAUGUUGAAAGGUGGCUUUUAGCUAUCACUUACAGAUGGACCCGCGGCGCAUUAGCUAGUUGGUGAGGUAACGGCUCACCAAGGCGACGAUGCGUAGCCGACCUGAGAGGGUGAUCGGCCACACUGGGACUGAGACACGGCCCAGACUCCUACGGGAGGCAGCAGUAGGGAAUCUUCCGCAAUGGACGAAAGUCUGACGGAGCAACGCCGCGUGAGUGAUGAAGGUUUUCGGAUCGUAAAACUCUGUUGUUAGGGAAGAACAAGUACCGUUCGAAUAGGGCGGUACCUUGACGGUACCUAACCAGAAAGCCACGGCUAACUACGUGCCAGCAGCCGCGGUAAUACGUAGGUGGCAAGCGUUGUCCGGAAUUAUUGGGCGUAAAGCGCGCGCAGGUGGUUCCUUAAGUCUGAUGUGAAAGCCCACGGCUCAACCGUGGAGGGUCAUUGGAAA
This 592-nucleotide ribosomal RNA is filed under the name Bacillus sp. CH152a_5R. Its description in RNAcentral is "bacterial SSU rRNA". It matches the Rfam family "Bacterial small subunit ribosomal RNA", at positions 59 to 632 of the family's 1533-position model. The record is from RNAcentral. Lineage: Bacteria; Bacillati; Bacillota; Bacilli; Caryophanales; Bacillaceae. RNAcentral also lists the same sequence under 1 other name.